GAUCCCUUGCCUUAACCUGAAAAUAAUGACUUGGAUGUAAAUAGAAAACUGGCGAUAGUUUAAAAUAUUCUUGCGUAGCACCAAGAUAUCAGUUACCAUUCUAGGGGAAAAAAGGAAGAAUUGUUUUUUGUAAUCAAGACGGAUCUAACAACGCAGUCUGGGCUCCGUGCCAAAGGCUGGUAUUUCACAGCAGCGACCGCCUUACAGAUGAGCUGUGGGAAGCAGGAGGGAGACUCUCUUAGGGUGCCACUACUAUGGAGACACAGCUGGGCUGAACAAGAUUUGCUUCAAACGACAACAAGAGAGACAGAAAGAGUCUGGUUCGACCGCUGCCCAAGCAGGCAGUAACCAGAAGAGCUAGCAGCCAAUCCGGCCAUGCUGCACUGUUCGAAACCAGCUCUACAUCCCAGCCAAUCAGUGACAUCACUGCAUCAGCCAAGCAAGCAGAUCUCAGCUACCUCUGAGGGUUACAAGGAACCUCAUCCUAGAAAAAGUGCAGCAAAGACUUCGGUAAUUUGAUAUUUCUCUUUGGCAUGUUCAUUGUUCUUUACCUGUAGCAGACAUGCCUUAGAUGGGUUUCACCUGCUACAAAAAGCUGUGAGAAAUCACAGAAA
Molecule: long non-coding RNA, 614 nt
Filed under: Cyanistes caeruleus (blue tit)
Lineage: Eukaryota; Metazoa; Chordata; Aves; Passeriformes; Paridae
Description: lncRNA (ENSCCEG00000018062.1)
Source: RNAcentral